This 3355-nucleotide ribosomal RNA is filed under the name Candidatus Peribacteria bacterium RIFCSPHIGHO2_01_FULL_54_22. RNAcentral's name for it is "bacterial LSU rRNA". It matches the Rfam family "Bacterial large subunit ribosomal RNA", at positions 24 to 2521 of the family's 2925-position model. Lineage: Bacteria; Candidatus Peregrinibacteriota; Candidatus Peribacteria. The record is from RNAcentral.
ACGGAUGCCUCGACUCUGGAGUCCGAUGAAGGACGUGGCCAGCUACGAUAAGCCUCGGUGAGCCGCUAGGCAGGCACUAUUAGCCGGGGAUUUCCGAAUGGGGCAACCCAUGGGGGUUAUACCCCCGUAUCCGGCUUCGGCCGGAAGGUCACUCUGCGAACUGAAACAUCUCAGUAGCAGGGGAAGAGAAAUCAACACGAGAUUCCCUGAGUAGUGGCGAGCGAAAGGGGAACAGCCUAAACCAUGAUCGCAAGAUUGUGGGGUUGCAGGACCUCAAUAUCCGACUCCCUUCUCAUAGGCGAACGACCCUGGAACGGGCGGCCAAAGAGGGUGAGAGCCCCGUAGACGAAAUGGGGAGGGGCGGUAGGGGAAUCCUAAGUAGGGUCGGACACGUGUAAUCCGGCCUGAAUCCGGGUGGACCACCAUCCAAGGCUAAAGAGCUCUAGAGAUCGAUAGCGAAUAGUACCGUGAGGGAAAGGUGAAAAGCACCCCGAAAGGGGGAUGAAAUAGUCUCUGAAAUGUGAUGCGUACAAAGAAGUCGGAGCCCCGCGUAAGCGGGGUGACGGCGUGCCUUUUGCAUAAUGAGCCAACGAGUUUGUUGUCAGCGGCAUGGCGAAGGGAGUACAUACCCGAAGCCGCAGCGAAAGCGAGUCCGAAUAGGGCGUUUUAGUCGCUGGCACAAGACCCGAAACCGGGUGAGCUAUCCAUGGGCAGGGUGAAGCCCCGCGAAAGCGGGGUGGAGGCCCGAACCGGUUGGUGUCGCAAGACCAUCGGAUGACCUGUGGAUAGGAGUGAAAAGCUCAUCGAACCCGGAGAUAGCUGGUUCUCCUCGAAAUGCCUUUAGGGGCAGCCUCGUCGUAACCUAUGGGGGGUAGAGAUACUGUUUGGAUGCGGGGGUCUUUCAGGCCUACCAAAUCCAGAUAAACUCCGAAUACCCAUAGUUUUAACCACGACGGGAGUGAGACGGUGACAGCGAACUGCCAUCGUCACAAGGGAAAUAGCCCAGACCAUUCGCUAAGGUCCCCAAAUGUCGUUCAGUGGAAAAGGAGGUGCAGGUGCGUUGACAACCAGGAGGUUGGCUUAGAAGCAGCCAUCCUUUAAAGAAAGCGUAACAGCUCACUGGUCGAUGCCCCUGUGCGCCGAAAAUGUAUCGGGGCGAAACGACAUACCGAAGCGGUGGGUGCGACGAAGCGCGCAAGCGCUUUGCCGCGCGGUAGAGGAGCGUUCCGUCCAGCAGUGAAGCUCCGUUGUGAAGCGGAGUGGAGCGGACGGAAGUGAGAAUGUUGGCAUGAGUAACUACUUGGCAGGUGAGAAUCCUGCCCGCCGAAUCCCCAAGGUUUCCCACGCAACGGUCAUCGGCGUGGGGUUAGUCGGUCCUAAGGCAAGGCCAAACGGCGUAGCCGAUGGACAGCAGGUCAAUAUUCCUGCACUUCAUGGAGAUCGCCAAGGGGUAGUUGUUGAGAGCCCAUCAGGCCUCUGCUCUACACCAUUCUGGAGUUGAAGAGAAUUAUGAAUCUGGUGUCAUUAUUACUUCUUAAUUCUUCUCCGAAUCUAGAAUGGUGUGGAGUACGUCAGGUAGGAAGGAUGCUUCUACUCUAGGAGCGGCAUGACGGAGCGGGACGAUCAGAGCGUGUGUAUGGAAUGCACGUGGAAUGCGUAAGACGUUGAUGUUGGGAGGCAAAUCCCCCAAGAGAGUCGAGCGCACAUCCCAAAUGCCCCGCGCAAGCGGGGUGAGUCUGAACCGUUCUGCUUCCAAGAAAAUCGUCGCGUCCGAGAGCUUCAUGAAACCGUACCGCAAACCAACACUGGUGGGGUGGUCGAGAAGACUAAGGCGAACGGGUCAUCUCGCGUCAAGGAACUCGGCAAAAAAGCGUCCGUAACUUCGGGAUAAGGACUGCCUCGCACGCGCAAGCGCAGCGGGGUCGCAGCGAAAGAGCUCAGGCGACUGUUUACCAAAAACACAGGUCCCUGCGAAGCCGUAAGGCAAUGUAUAGGGGCUGAUGCCUGGCCAGUGUCAGAAGGUUACGGAAGGGGGUUCACGCUCCCGACUUAAGCCCUGAUGAACGCCGGCGAUAACUAUAAUCGUCCUAUGGUAGCGAAAUUCCUUGUCGGGUGGUCGAUAAAAACUUGCCCGAAUGGUCCGGAAGGAUCAGCACUGAGGAAAGAAGUUACCGAACUCUUUUUAUCCAAAGUUAUAACGCAAAUACCGAGAUCCUAUUAAAUGGGGCACAAGUGUGCCCUGCUUGAGAUCGUUGGUCAUCGUCGUCGCACUGACGCCGGUGAGCCAUUCAUACAUAUCAGUGCAAAACGUGGCUAUAUGCUGGAAAAUCCCAUGUAUCCCCUAUAUGCCGCAAGGUACGGGGUGGGGAUCAUCAGCAGGAAAGGAUCCGCAAGGAGAAUCCUCAGAGACUACACGCCACGCAACUUAAAAAGAACCAUCCGCGCCGAAGGCAAGCUCCGCUUGCCUGGAGGCGCACCUUUAAAGGGAAAGGAUGGUUCAUGGAAGGAAAACCGUAGGUUUGCCUUCCAUGAGUUGAUGAUAUAGUCCGAUCCCUCUAGCGAUAGAGGGAUGCCGCAGAACCGCGCGGCUGAUAAAAAACAAGCGUUUCUGUGUCUAUCCCUCGACUACGCUCGGGAUGACACAGGAGGUGCAAGUGCGCCCCGCAGUUAUUGUGGGGUUCUCGGUGGCCCGCCGAGAGGAACAUUCCUGGAGGCACACCUCUUAGGGAAAGGAUGGUCCGCGGAAGGAAAACCGUAGGUUUUCCUCUUCCGCGAGAGCUUUGAAGUUCCGACCCGCACGAAUGGUAUAACGAUCUGAGCACUGUCUCGACGCGAGGCCCGGUGAAAUUUCAGUGACGGUGCAAAUGCCGUCUUGAUCACGGAAGGACGAAAAGACCCUAUGAAGCUUUACUGUACGCUGGCAUUGUGACGUUAGUCUGCGUGCGCAGGAUAGGUGGGAGCCUUUGAAGCCCUGGCUUUGGCCGGGGUGGAGGCAACGUUGAGAUACCACCCUCGUGUUCUGACGUUACUCACGGUGACCCUGAAACAGGGCAUCGAACAGUGCUUGCCGGGCAGUUUAACUGGGGCGGUUGCCUCCUAAAGCGUAACGGAGGCGCGCAAUGGUCGACUAGCGCCGGAUGGAAAUCGGCGUGGUCGUGUAAUCGCAUAUGUCGGCCUGACUGUGAGGCCUACAAGCCGAGCAGAGACGAAAGUCGGCGAUAGUGAUCCGGUGCCCAAGGACACGCUUUACCGUGUGUCCACACCACGUGGGUGGGGCAUCGCUCAACGGAUAAAAGUUACUCUAGGGAUAACAGGCUGAUCGCUCCCAAGCGCCCACAGCGACGGAGCGGUUUGG